UAUUUGAAAUUUGACCUGCCCAAUGAUUAUUUUAAUGGCCGCGGUAUAUUGACCGUGCAAAGGUAGCAUAAUCAUUAGUCUAUUAAUUGUGGACUUGUAUGAAUGGUUGGACGAAAUAUUUACUGUCUCAUAUUAAUUUAUUUUGAAUUUAAUUUUUUAGUUAGAAAGCUAAAAUUUUUUUGUAGGACGAGAAGACCCUAUAGAUCUUUAUUAUUUUUAUUUUUAAUUAAUUUAGUUUAUUUUUUGUUAAUUUUAUUGGAUUUUUUGGUUGGGGUGACAGGGAGAUAUUUUAACUCUUUUAUAGUAUUUACAAUGAUUUUUGAAUAGUUUGAUUUUAUAUUAAUGUUUAUUAGAUUAGAUACCUUAGGGAUAACAGCGUAAUUCUUUUUGAGAGUUCAUAUCGACAAGAGAGAUUGCGACCUCGAUGUUGGAUUAAGAAUAGUUUUAGGUGUAGGUGCUUAAUAAUUAGGUCUGUUCGACCUUUAAAUUCUUACGUGAUCUGA
This 503-nucleotide ribosomal RNA is filed under the name Agathemera grylloidea. RNAcentral's name for it is "partial 16S ribosomal RNA". It matches the Rfam family "Bacterial large subunit ribosomal RNA", at positions 1844 to 2608 of the family's 2925-position model. The record is from RNAcentral. Lineage: Eukaryota; Metazoa; Arthropoda; Insecta; Phasmatodea; Agathemeridae.